GUGCUAAUCUGCGAUAAGCGCCGGUAAGGUGAUAUGAACCGUUAUAACCGGCGAUACCCGAAUGGGGAAACCCAGUGUGACUCGUCACACUAUCAUUAACUGAAUCCAUAGGUUAAUGAGGCGAACCGGGGGAACUGAAACAUCUAAGUACCCCGAGGAAAAGAAAUCAACCGAGAUUCCCCCAGUAGCGGCGAGCGAACGGGGAGGAGCCCAGAGCCUGAAUCAGCAUGUGUGUUAGUGGAAGCGUCUGGAAAGGCGCGCGAUACAGGGUGACAGCCCCGUACACAAAAGCGCAUGUGCUGUGAGCUCGAUGAGUAGGGCGGGACACGUGGUAUCCUGUCUGAAUAUGGGGGGACCAUCCUCCAAGGCUAAAUACUCCUGACUGACCGAUAGUGAACCAGUACCGUGAGGGAAAGGCGAAAAGAACCCCGGCGAGGGGAGUGAAAAAGAACCUGAAACCGU
This 462-nucleotide ribosomal RNA is filed under the name Salmonella enterica subsp. enterica serovar Heidelberg. Its description in RNAcentral is "partial 23S ribosomal RNA". It matches the Rfam family "Bacterial large subunit ribosomal RNA", at positions 58 to 559 of the family's 2925-position model. Lineage: Bacteria; Pseudomonadati; Pseudomonadota; Gammaproteobacteria; Enterobacterales; Enterobacteriaceae. The record is from RNAcentral. RNAcentral also lists the same sequence under 1 other name.